Molecule: ribosomal RNA, 253 nt
Filed under: uncultured bacterium
Lineage: Bacteria
Description: partial 16S ribosomal RNA
Rfam family: Bacterial small subunit ribosomal RNA
Source: RNAcentral
UACGUAGGGGGCAAGCGUUGUCCGGAUUUAUUGGGCGUACAGAGCGUGUAGGCGGCCACACAGGUCCGCUGUGAAAACUCGAGGCUCAACCUCGAGCUGUCGGUGGAAACCGUGUGGCUAGAGUCCGGAAGAGGAGAGUGGAAUUCCCGGUGUAGCGGUGAAAUGCGCAGAUAUCGGGAAGAACACCCGUGGCGAAGGCGGCUCUCUGGGACGGUACUGACGCUGAGACGCGAAAGCGUGGGGAGCGAACAGG